UACGUAGGUGGCAAGCGUUGUCCGGAUUUAUUGGGCUUAAAGGGUGCGUAGGCGGUUUUGUAAGUCAGUGGUGAAAUACUCCAGCUUAACUGGAGGGGUGCCAAUGAUACUGCAGAACUUGAGUACAGAUGAGGUAGGCGGAAUUGACGGUGUAGCGGUGAAAUGCAUAGAUAUCGGGAGGAACACCUGUGGCGAAAGCGGCUCACUGGACCACAACUGACGCUGAUGCGCGAAAGCUAGGGGAGCAAACAGG
This 253-nucleotide ribosomal RNA is filed under the name uncultured bacterium. RNAcentral's name for it is "partial 16S ribosomal RNA". It matches the Rfam family "Bacterial small subunit ribosomal RNA", at positions 524 to 776 of the family's 1533-position model. The record is from RNAcentral.